GACGAACGCUGGCGGCGUGCUUAACACAUGCAAGUCGAGCGGUAAGGCCCUUUCGGGGUACGACGAGCGGCGAACGGGUGAGUAACACGUGGGUGACCUGCCCUCCAGCUCUGGGAUAAGCCUGGGAAACCGGGUCUAAUACUGGAUAUGACUCCAUGACGCAUGUUGUGGGGUGGAAAGCCUUGUGCGGCUGAGGAUGGGCCCGCGGCCUAUCAGCUUGUUGGUGGGGUGAUGGCCUACCAAGGCGACGACGGGUAGCCGG
RNAcentral lists this ribosomal RNA (262 nucleotides) under uncultured bacterium. Its description in RNAcentral is "partial 16S ribosomal RNA". It matches the Rfam family "Bacterial small subunit ribosomal RNA", at positions 28 to 290 of the family's 1533-position model. The record is from RNAcentral.